CACUCAACUUUCCACGGUUUGCACACUCGAUUUUCGCAGGGUGUUUCAAGUACCAGAGGUAGCCGGUUGCCGCGUGACGAAGGGAACAAAUCGACCAAACAAGCGAGGACGGUCAUGCGAUCUGCGCGGAUUGCACUGAUGCUGACGCUCGCGCUUGGCGGUCUGCAUGCGUCGAACUUCGCCCAUGCGCAGCGACAGGAGCCUGGUGCUUCGGCGCGCAA
RNAcentral lists this non-coding RNA (221 nucleotides) under Burkholderia sp. lig30. Its description in RNAcentral is "Burkholderia sRNA 19". It matches the Rfam family "Burkholderia sRNA 19". From Rfam's summary of the family: Cis-encoded, located in the 5'UTR of their cognate gene. Expression correlated with tight regulation of the gene transcript levels. The record is from Rfam by way of RNAcentral. Lineage: Bacteria; Pseudomonadati; Pseudomonadota; Betaproteobacteria; Burkholderiales; Burkholderiaceae.